GAUCAAUGAUGAAAAUAGCCAAUCUGAUAUCAGAAGACCUCACAGUCUGCCUGAACACAUGAUCUCUAGAGUUUGAGA
RNAcentral lists this small nucleolar RNA (78 nucleotides) under Castor canadensis (American beaver). RNAcentral's name for it is "Small nucleolar RNA U2-19 (ENSCCNG00000010540.1)". It matches the Rfam family "Small nucleolar RNA U2-19". From Rfam's summary of the family: U2-19 is a member of the C/D class of snoRNA which contain the C (UGAUGA) and D (CUGA) box motifs. The record is from Rfam by way of RNAcentral. Lineage: Eukaryota; Metazoa; Chordata; Mammalia; Rodentia; Castoridae.